This 497-nucleotide ribosomal RNA is filed under the name uncultured bacterium. Its description in RNAcentral is "partial 16S ribosomal RNA". It matches the Rfam family "Bacterial small subunit ribosomal RNA", at positions 28 to 507 of the family's 1533-position model. The record is from RNAcentral.
GAUGAACGCUGGCGGCGUGCCUAAUACAUGCAAGUCGAGCGAACAGACGAGGAGCUUGCUCCUCUGACGUUAGCGGCGGACGGGUGAGUCACACGUGGAUCCCCUACCUAUAAGACUGGGAUAACUUCGAGACACCGGCGCUAAUCCCGGAUGAUCUCUUGCACCGCAUGGUUCAAUAGUGAAAGACGGUUUUGCUGUCACUUCUAGAUGCAUCCGCGCGGCAUUAGCUGGUUGGUACGUUAACGGCUUACCAAGGCAACCAUGCGUAGCCGACGUGAGAGAGUGAUAGGCGACACUGGAACGGAGACACGGUCAAGAGUACUACGGGAGGCAGCAGUAGGGAACGUGCCGCAAUGGGCGAAAGUCUGACGGAGUAACGGCGCGCGAGUGAUGAAGGUCUUCGGAGCGUAAAAACGUGUUAUGAGGGAAGAACAAAUGUGUAAGUAACUAUGGACGUCGUGACGGUACCGAAUCAGAAAGCCACGGCUAACUACGUG